AAAAGAUUUCAGAAAAAAAAUUGAGAAGACUGGCAAUGGAUAUAAAUCAAAUGUUGCUGAAUUCGACCUUGUUAUGCAGACAACCAAAGCUCAAACACAUGAUUCAGCAUCCUGCCUCAAAGAACAAUCAUGCUUGCCCUUAGGUGGACACAGUGUAUGGACUUCAUUACCACCACUUAAAAACGGAUCUACAGAGC
Zea mays is the source of this 197-nucleotide long non-coding RNA. RefSeq lists it as uncharacterized. The record is from RefSeq and is a predicted model, not a curated record. The transcript has 3 exons. Lineage: Eukaryota; Viridiplantae; Streptophyta; Magnoliopsida; Poales; Poaceae.